Long non-coding RNA from Homo sapiens (human), 784 nucleotides. Ensembl annotates it as TTN antisense RNA 1. Its record names the gene TTN-AS1. The record is from Ensembl. Lineage: Eukaryota; Metazoa; Chordata; Mammalia; Primates; Hominidae.
GAUCUGAAGGUGGACUGAACUUUCCAGGUCCAGCUGCAUUUUCAGCACAUACUCUGAAGACAUAGGUCCAGCAAGAUUUUCAGCCAACACACGGAAUCUGUAUUUUUUCUUAUUAGUGAGACCUUUCACUCUGAAUUAGGAACAAAGUGCAUGUGUAUCAUCAUGCUGAUUGAGAAACUUACCAAACUGAUAUUUGGCUGUUAUUGGAGAGGCCUGAACUGGUUCACCAACACCAUACAUGUUUUCUGCAGCAACUCUGAAGAUGUACUCUUUAUUGGGGAUUAAUUUGGUGGCCUUGAAGUUUGUGUUUAUCACCCUGGACAACAACCAUGUUAUUUCUUAGCCAUUGGACUUCCACCUUAUCUUUAUUGAGUUCUGCUAAAAAGACAACAUCAGCACCAGGGGCUUCAAGAAUAUCUUGUGGAGGCCUGAUGAUCUCAACAGGAAUUUCUGGAAAGAAAAUGUGAAAUAAAUACAAAUAUGUUUACAUUUUGAUUAACAAUUUUAAAAAAUUGGUAACAUUAGAAUUGUUUUUUCACUUAAUAUGUACCUUCCACAAAAAGUCUAGCACGAGACUUCCUGUCUUCUACCCCGCAAGCAUAUUCACACUCAUCAUCCAGCCUGCAAUCUUUUAUAAUGAGUCUGUGUAUACUUCCAUCUUUUUCAAAUUUGUAUCUAAAGGAGACAUUGGAUUAUCAGUUAGCUUGCAAUGAUGGCCACUAAAUUGUCAAAAGUGUAUAUAUAGCUACAGAAAUAGAGAAUAAAAAGAUCUUGCUUACUUUUU